CCCUAGUAGCGGCGAGCGAAGCGGGAAGAGCUCAAAUUUAUAAUCUGGCACCUUCGGUGUCCGAGUUGUAAUCUCUAGAAGUGUUUUCCGCGUUGGACCGCACACAAGUCUGUUGGAAUACAGCGGCAUAGUGGUGAAACCCCCGUAUAUGGUGCGGACGCCCAGCGCUUUGUGAUACACUUUCAAUGAGUCGAGUUGUUUGGGAAUGCAGCUCAAAUUGGGUGGUAAAUUCCAUCUAAAGCUAAAUAUUGGCGAGAGACCGAUAGCGAACAAGUACCGUGAGGGAAAGAUGAAAAGCACUUUGGAAAGAGAGUUAACAGUACGUGAAAUUGUUGGAAGGGAAACGCUUGAAGUCAGACUUGCUUGCCGGAGCUUGCUUCGGUUUGCAGGCCAGCAUCAGUUUUCCGGGGUGGAUAAUAACGGUUUGAAGGUAGCAGUCUCGGCUGUGUUAUAGCUUUCCGUUGGAUACAUCCUGGGGGACUGAGGAACGCAGCGUGCUUUUUGCGAAAGACUCGUCUUUUUCACGCUUAGGAUGCUGGUGGAAUGGCUUUAAACGACCCGUCUUGAAACACGGGACCA
This 579-nucleotide ribosomal RNA is filed under the name Rhodotorula glutinis. RNAcentral's name for it is "partial large subunit ribosomal RNA". It matches the Rfam family "Eukaryotic large subunit ribosomal RNA", at positions 78 to 664 of the family's 3401-position model. Lineage: Eukaryota; Fungi; Basidiomycota; Microbotryomycetes; Sporidiobolales; Sporidiobolaceae. The record is from RNAcentral.